CGCGUAGGUGGUCCUUCAAGUCAGAUGUUAAAUCUCCCGGCUCAACUGGGAGCUGUCAAUUGAUACUGCUGGACUCGAGGAUGGUAGAGGGAGGCGGAAUUCCCGGUGUAGUGGUGAAAUGCGUAGAUAUCGGGAGGAACACCAGUGGCGAAAGCGGCCUCCUAGGCCAUUCCUGACACUGAGGCGCGGAAGCGUGGGGAGCGAACAGGAUCAGAUACCCUGGUAGUCCACGCCCUAAACUGUGAAAACUAGGUACAGGGAGUAUCGACCCUUCCUGCGCCGUAGCUAACGCGUUAAGUUUUCCGCCUGGGGACUACGGUCGCAAGACUAAA
RNAcentral lists this ribosomal RNA (332 nucleotides) under uncultured bacterium. RNAcentral's name for it is "bacterial SSU rRNA". It matches the Rfam family "Bacterial small subunit ribosomal RNA", at positions 568 to 898 of the family's 1533-position model. The record is from RNAcentral.